This 585-nucleotide ribosomal RNA is filed under the name uncultured beta proteobacterium. RNAcentral describes it as "bacterial SSU rRNA". It matches the Rfam family "Bacterial small subunit ribosomal RNA", at positions 338 to 916 of the family's 1533-position model. Lineage: Bacteria; Pseudomonadati; Pseudomonadota; Betaproteobacteria. The record is from RNAcentral.
CCUACGGGAGGCAGCAGUGGGGAAUUUUGGACAAUGGGCGCAAGCCUGAUCCAGCAAUGCCGCGUGCAGGAAGAAGGCCUUCGGGUUGUAAACUGCUUUUGUACGGAACGAAACGGUCUGGGUUAAUACCCUGGGCUAAUGACGGUACCGUAAGAAUAAGCACCGGCUAACUACGUGCCAGCAGCCGCGGUAAUACGUAGGGUGCAAGCGUUAAUCGGAAUUACUGGGCGUAAAGCGUGCGCAGGCGGUGAUGUAAGACAGGCGUGAAAUCCCCGGGCUUAACCUGGGAAUGGCGUCUGUGACUGUAUAGCUAGAGUGUGUCAGAGGGGGGUGGAAUUCCACGUGUAGCAGUGAAAUGCGUAGAUAUGUGGAGGAACACCAAUGGCGAAGGCAGCCCCCUGGGAUAACACUGACGCUCAUGCACGAAAGCGUGGGGAGCAAACAGGAUUAGAUACCCUGGUAGUCCACGCCCUAAACGAUGCUGACUAGUUGUUGGGAAUUUACAUUCUCAGUAACGUAGCUAACGCGUGAAGUCAGCCGCCUGGGGAGUACGGUCGCAAGAUUAAAACUCAAAGGAAUUGACGG